This 398-nucleotide ribosomal RNA is filed under the name uncultured bacterium. RNAcentral's name for it is "partial 16S ribosomal RNA". It matches the Rfam family "Bacterial small subunit ribosomal RNA", at positions 523 to 918 of the family's 1533-position model. The record is from RNAcentral.
AUACGUAGGGUGCGAGCGUUGUCCGGAAUUACUGGGCGUAAAGAGCUCGUAGGUGGUUUGUCGCGUCGUCUGUGAAAUUCCGGGGCUUAACUCCGGGCGUGCAGGCGAUACGGGCAUAACUUGAGUACUGUAGGGGAGACUGGAAUUCCUGGUGUAGCGGUGAAAUGCGCAGAUAUCAGGAGGAACACCGGUGGCGAAGGCGGUUCUCUGGGCAGUAACUGACGCUGAGUAGCGAAAGCAUGGGUAGCGAACAGGAUUAGAUCCCCUGUUAGUCCAUGCCGUAAACGGUGGGCGCUAGGUGUAGGGGUCUUCCACGACUUCUGUGCCGUAGCUAACGCAUUAAGCGCCCCGCCUGGGGAGUACGGCCGCAAGGCUAAAACUCAAAUGAAUUGACGGGG